GGACGGCUCAUUAACACGUGGUUAACAUACCCUCAGGUGGGGGAUAACCUUGGGAAACUGAGGAUAAUACCCCAUAGAAAAAGCAGUCUGGAACGAUUCUUUUUCGAAAGCAUAUGCGCCUGAGGAUUGGACUGCGCUCGAUUAGGUAGUUGGUGGGGUAAUGGCCUACCAAGCCUACGAUCGGUACGGGCCUUGAGAGAGGAAGCCCGGAGAUGGGGACUGAGACACGGCCCCAGGCCCUACGGGGCGCAGCAGGCGCGAAACCUCCGCAAUGCACGAAAGUGCGACGGGGGGAUCCCAAGUGCUCAUGCACAGCAUGGGCUUUUAUCAAGUGUAAACAGCUUGAGGAAUAAGGGCUGGGCAAGUUCGGUGCCAGCAGCCGCGGUAACACCGACGGCCCGAGUGGUGGCCACUUUUAUUGGGCCUAAAGCGUCCGUAGCCGGUCCAGUAAGUCCUUGUUUAAAUCCUGCGGCUUAACCGCAGGACUGGCAGGGAUACUGCUGGACUUGGGACCGGGAGAGGACAAGGGUACUUCAGGGGUAGCGGUGAAAUGUGUUGAUCCUUGAAGGACCACCUAUGGCGAAGGCACUUGUCUGGAAC
This 600-nucleotide ribosomal RNA is filed under the name uncultured archaeon. Its description in RNAcentral is "bacterial SSU rRNA". It matches the Rfam family "Archaeal small subunit ribosomal RNA", at positions 83 to 686 of the family's 1478-position model. The record is from RNAcentral.